AUUGAACGCUGGCGGCAUGCCUAACACAUGCAAGUCGAACGGCAGCACGGUCUGGUUUACCAGAUGGGUGGCGAGUGGCGAACGGGUGAGUAAAGCGUAGGAAUAUACCUUAAAGAGGGGGAUAACCUGGGGAAACUCAGGCUAAUACCGCGUAAACUCUGCGGAGCAAAGCUGGGGACCGAAAGGCCUGGCGCUUUAAGAAUAGCCUGCGUCCGAUUAGCUAGUUGGUGGGGUAAAGGCUCACCAAGGCGACGAUCGGUAGCUGGUCUGAGAGGACGAACAGCCACACUGGGACUGAGACACGGCCCAGACUCCUACGGGAGGCAGCAGUGGGGAAUAUUGGACAAUGGGGGGAACCCUGAUCCAGCAAUGCCGCGUGUGUGAAGAAGGCCUGAGGGUUGUAAAGCACUUUCAGUGGGGAGGAGGAUUACUAGGUUAAGAGCCAGGUAAUUGGACGUUACCACAGAAGAAGCACCGGCUAACUCCGUG
Molecule: ribosomal RNA, 489 nt
Filed under: uncultured bacterium
Lineage: Bacteria
Description: bacterial SSU rRNA
Rfam family: Bacterial small subunit ribosomal RNA
Source: RNAcentral